RNAcentral lists this ribosomal RNA (468 nucleotides) under uncultured bacterium. Its description in RNAcentral is "partial 16S ribosomal RNA". It matches the Rfam family "Bacterial small subunit ribosomal RNA", at positions 28 to 507 of the family's 1533-position model. The record is from RNAcentral.
GACGAACGCUGGCGGCGUGCUUAACACAUGCAAGUCGAACGGAAAGGCCCUGCUUUUGUGGGGUGCUCGAGUGGCGAACGGGUGAGUAACACGUGAGUAACCUGCCCUUGACUUUGGGAUAACUUCAGGAAACUGGGGCUAAUAUCGGAUAGGAGCUCCUGCUGCAUGGUGGGGGUUGGAAAGUUUCGGCGGUUGGGGAUGGACUCGCGGCUUAUCAGCUUGUUGGUGGGGUAGUGGCUUACCAAGGCUUUGACGGGUAGCCGGCAUGGGAGGGGGACCGGCCACAAUGGGACUGAGAGACGGCGCAGACUCCAACGGGAGGCAGCAGGCGGGAAUAUUACACAAUGGGCGGAAGCCUGAUGCGACAACGCCGCGUGCGGAAUGACGGCCUUCGGGUUGUGAACAGCUUUCGCCUGUGACGAAGCGUGAGUGACGGUAAUGGGUAAAGAAGCACCGGCUAACUACGUG